Oncorhynchus tshawytscha (Chinook salmon) is the source of this 929-nucleotide long non-coding RNA. Lineage: Eukaryota; Metazoa; Chordata; Actinopteri; Salmoniformes; Salmonidae. The record is from Ensembl.
CCAAACCAACAGUCCAUUCUAGAACACAGAGGCUAUGACAUUCCAAACCAACAGUCCAUUCUAGAGCACAGAGGCUAUGACAUUCCAAACCAACAGUCUAUUCUAGAACACAGAGGCUGACACUACAAACCAACAGUCUAUUCUAGAACACAGAGGCUAUGACACUCCAAACCAACAGUCCAUUCUAGAACACAAACCAACAGUCCAUUCUAGAACACAGAGGCUAUGACAUUCCAAACCAACAGUCUAUUCUAGAACACAGAGGCUAUGAUACUCCAAACCAACAGUCCAUUCUAGAACACAAACCAACAGUCCAUUCUAGAACACAGAGGCUAGGACAUUCCAAACCAACAGUCUAUUCUAGAACACAGAGGCUAUGACAUCCUCCAAGCCAACAGUCCAUUCUAGAGCACAGAGGCUAUGACAUUCCAAACCAACAGUCCAUUCUAGAACACAGAGGCUAUGCCAUUCCAAACCAGCAGUCCAUUCUAGAGCACAGAGGCUAGGACAUUCCAAACCAACAGUCCAUUCUAGAACACAGAGGCUAUGACAUUCCAAACCAACAGUCCAUUCAAGAACACAAACCAACAGUCCAUUCGAGAACACAGAGGCUGUGACAUUCCAAACCAGCAGUCCAUUCUAGAGCACAGAGGCUAUGACAUUCCAAACCAACAGUCCAUUCAAGAACACAAACCAACAGUCCAUUCGAGAACACAGAGGCAAUGACAUUCCAAACCAACAGUCUAUUCUAGAACACAGAGGCUAUGACAUCCUCCAAGCCAACAGUCCAUUCUAGAACACAGAGGCUAUGACAUUCCAAACCAACAGUCUAUUCUAGAACACAGAGGCUAUGACACUCCAAACCAACAGUCCAUUCUAGAACACAAACCAACAGUCCAUUCUAGAACACAGAGGCUAUGACAUUCCAA